RNAcentral lists this non-coding RNA (31 nucleotides) under Rattus norvegicus (Norway rat). The record is from RNAcentral. Lineage: Eukaryota; Metazoa; Chordata; Mammalia; Rodentia; Muridae.
UGAGAAUGUGUGGCACCAAAAGUUUGCCUGC